RNAcentral lists this ribosomal RNA (256 nucleotides) under uncultured bacterium. RNAcentral's name for it is "partial 16S ribosomal RNA". It matches the Rfam family "Bacterial small subunit ribosomal RNA", at positions 524 to 776 of the family's 1533-position model. The record is from RNAcentral.
UACGUAGGUGGCAAGCGUUGUCCGGAUUUAUUGGGUUUAAAGGGUGCGUAGGCGGCUUUGUAAGUCAGUGGUGAAAUAUGGCAGCUUAACUGUCAAGGUGCCAUUGAUACUGCGGAGCUUGAGUACAGAUGAGGUAGGCGGAAUUGACGGUGUAGCGGUGAAAUGCUUAGAUAUCGUCAAGAACACCUAUAGCGAAGGCAGCUUACUAGGCUGUAACUGACGCUGAGGCACGAAAAGUGUGGGGGAUCAAAACAGG